This 509-nucleotide ribosomal RNA is filed under the name uncultured bacterium. Its description in RNAcentral is "bacterial SSU rRNA". It matches the Rfam family "Bacterial small subunit ribosomal RNA", at positions 8 to 518 of the family's 1533-position model. The record is from RNAcentral.
AGAGUUUGAUUCUGGCUCAGGAUGAACGCUGGCGGCGUGCUUAACACAUGCAAGUCGAACGGAGUUUUUAAACGGAAGUUUUCGGAUGGAAGUUAAAACUUAGUGGCGGACGGGUGAGUAACGCGUGGGUAACCUGCCUCAUACAGGGGGAUAACAGUUAGAAAUGACUGCUAACACCGCAUAAUAUAGCGAAACCGCAUGAUUUUGCUAUCAAAUAUUUAUAGGUAUGAGAUGGGCCCGCGUCUGAUUAGCUAGUUGGUGGGGUAAAAGCCUACCAAGGCGACGAUCAGUAGCCGGCUUGAGAGAGUGACCGGCCACAUUGGGACUGAGACACGGCCCAAACUCCUACGGGAGGCAGCAGUGGGGAAUAUUGGACAAUGGGGGAAACCCUGAUCCAGCGAACCGCCGCGUGAGCGAAGAAGUAUUUCGGUAUGUAAAGCUCUAUCAGCAGGGAAGAUAAUGACAGUACCUGACUAAGAAGCCCCGGCUAACUACGUGCCAGCCGCAGC